UGCUGAGGGCUGGGCUGCGCACGGGGCUGAGUCCGGUGGUGACUUCCAGGUUUGUCGAAGGGUCACUGGGUCGGAGGGACCACCCUUCACCCCAGCAGGGAGUAGCAGGGGAGAAGCAGGUGGGCGGGGGCUUGGGGUGUGUGGAGAAGCUCUUGAUUUUAGGCGUAUUACCCUGGAGAUGGGACGUGUAAGUGGAGCUAUUUUAUAAAUCCUGGAACAUGGGACGGGUAUUAAGGGAAGGGGGGUCUGGAGGGCACCACUUGCUAGUGGAAGAUGAAGCUAAGGGUGGGCAUACGAUUUACCAGGAGGUCUUAGAGAUGAUGAAAGAUCUGGAGAAUGAAUAUGAGGAGGAGAAAAGGAGCCAUGAAAAAACAGCAAGAGAGUGGGGGCGGGUGUGCACUGGAAAACCACCGAGUCAGACUGGCCCCAGUGAGGAGGAGUUUGAGAACGUCAUUAACGAUGUGAAAUGCCACCUCGAAGUCGUUUAAUUAAUGAGUUACUUUUCCAACCACACCUGUGGCAUGCAGAAGUUCCUGGGCCAGGGAUCGAGCCUGAGCCACAGUGGUGACAAUGCUGGAUCCUUAACCCACUGAGCCACCAGGGAACUCUGAGGUCAUCGAAUUUUUUAUUUUAUUUUAUUUUUUUUGCUUUUUAGGGCCACAGGUGCGGCACAUGGAGGUUCCCAGGCUAGGGGUUGAAUCGGGGCUGUAGCCACCGGCCUACGCUAGAGCCACAGCAACGCGGGAUCCGAGCCGCGUCUGCAACCUACACCACAGCUCACGGCAACGCCGGAUCGUUAACCCACUGAGCAAGGGCAGGGACCGAACCCGCAACCUCAUGGUUCCUAGUCGGAUUCGUUAACCACUGUGCCACGACGGGAACUCCAGAAUGAUACUUUUAAUUUGCAAAUAGCCCAUCAUUUCCCCAAUUUGCUAGGGUUCGUCUUUUCGUAUCUUCAUAUAUUUUCUCUUCCCUUCCUCAUAAUUCUAGUGGCGUAUUAUCUAAAUAUUUUAGUAGCUUAUAGAGCUUGGCAGUGAGUUAGGAUCGUAGGGUUUGAAGGUUGAUUCCAGAUAAAAGCCCCGAGGAGCCUAGCGGGGAUGUGUUCAGUGCAGCUCAGCGCCCUCGUGGCUGGCCGACAGCUUCCACUUAGAAGGCCUGGGGGAGUGUGUUCCGAGGGCAGCCUCCUGGCAGCCGAGGGGCCACUGCUCCAGGAGGCAGGCCAGGUGGCUUGCGGCCAAAUGGCUUCUGAAAACGAGCCUUACUGAUCAAUGUUUCAUGCUGCUCCUCCCUCCGCAGCUGCUGCACAGCGCCGUCUUCUUUGUGAAGAUCUUGGGUUCGGUGCUGCCCUCGGAGGGUUUUUUGGUUUUUGUUUUUGUUUUGCCUUUUCCAGGGCCGCUCCCGCAGCACAUGGAGGUUCCCAGGCUAGGGGUCUAUUUGGAGCUGUAGCCGCCGGCUUACACCACAGCCACAGCAACGCAGGAUCCGAGCUGUGUCUGCAACCUACACCACAGCUCACGGCCACGCCAGAUCCUUAACCCACGGAGCGAGGCCAGGGUUCGAACCCGCAACCUCAUGGUUCCUAGUCGGAUUCAUUAACCCCUGUGCUACGACAGGAACUCCCUGCCCUCAGAGUUUUAACGGAUUCCUUACCCCCUGAUCCUUUCUCCAAAGCCUUUCCAGCUUCCUGAGGAUUUUGAACUCAUGGUUUGCUGCAAGUGCUCUCACGGGACUAUAUUUUACAUUUUAUUAUUAUGGUUUUUAAACAGCAUUACUCUGAGAGACCCUUCUUCCCUUCCUUCCUUACGCCCAUGGCCUACAGAAACUCCCAGGCCAGGGAUUGAACCCCUGCCACAGCAGUGUCAACAGCAGACCCUUAACUGCCAUGCCACCAGGGAACUCCAGGACUAUAUUUUAAAGGGUAAAAGGUGGGAAGGAGAGAGAAGGUUGCCCUCCGUGGUGGGGGUGGCCGUGGGGCACCAGGGUUCUGGCAGAGCUGCUGGGACUGCCCGGGGGGAGAGGACGGGAGCAGAUGUGGGCUCCUGGGGCCCUUGUCCCCAUUCUUUCUCGUGUGAUGUGACUCACGGGCCUGGAGCAUGCAGGACAUUCAGUGACACCAGGAGUCAAGGGGGCCAGUGUGAAAGGAGCUGAUUACGAUGGGAGGUGGCAGAAGGGCUCAGGAAAACAGGCCCAGGGCCCCAGUUUAGGGGCGCCCUUGCUGGGAGCCAGUUACUGCAGACAAGGCACGUGCUCUGCAUGGUUCUGUGGUUACUCCACGCUCGUCCUCCUUGGGCCACAUUCUGUGUUUGUGAAAGGCCGCUUCUGCUGCCUCUUGGUUUGAGCUCAGAUGGGCCUUUUUUUUUUGCUUUUUGGGCCACACCCGCGGCAUAUGGAGGUUCGAAGGCUAGGAGUCAAUGGGAGCUACAGCUGCUGGCCUACACCACAGCCACAGCAACGCCUGAUCAGAUGGGCCUUCUUCAAAUAAAAGCUAUAGUUUCUUC
This 2498-nucleotide long non-coding RNA is filed under the name Sus scrofa (pig). RNAcentral's name for it is "lncRNA (ENSSSCG00065061715.1)". Lineage: Eukaryota; Metazoa; Chordata; Mammalia; Artiodactyla; Suidae. The record is from RNAcentral.